UUAUCCGACGGCCCGGUGGUGACCACUCUUAUUGGGUCUAAAGCGUCCGUAGCCGGUCUAGUAAGUCCCUGUUUAAAUCCUCUGGCUUAACCGCAGGACUGGCAGGGAUACUGCUGGACUUGGGACCGGGAGAGGACAAGGGUACUCCAAGGGUAGCGGUGGAAUGUGUUGAUCCUUGGAGGACCACCUAUGGCGAAGGCACUUGUCUGGAACGGGUCCGACGGUGAGGGACGAAAGCCAGGGGCGCGAACCGGAUUAGAUACCCGGGUAGUCCUGGCCGUAAACUCUGCGAACUAGGUGA
RNAcentral lists this ribosomal RNA (301 nucleotides) under Methanococcus sp. enrichment culture clone CIBANICRA-27. Its description in RNAcentral is "bacterial SSU rRNA". It matches the Rfam family "Archaeal small subunit ribosomal RNA", at positions 473 to 774 of the family's 1478-position model. The record is from RNAcentral. Lineage: Archaea; Methanobacteriati; Methanobacteriota; Methanococci; Methanococcales; Methanococcaceae.